GCAUGGUAGCCGAGUGGGUAAAGCGCUUACACCAAUUGGCAAUUGGCUUAUAACCGAAUAUCGAUGGUUCGAAUCCAUCCCGAAGCA
Molecule: non-coding RNA, 87 nt
Organism: Rhamnusium bicolor
Lineage: Eukaryota; Metazoa; Arthropoda; Insecta; Coleoptera; Cerambycidae
Source: the annotation of a GenBank genome assembly